AUGCCGGAGCAAGGGCUCACCGAGAGCGCAGUCGCUGCUUCUCUUCCUCGCCAAGAAAGUAACGGAGGCGACGGGGAGAGAGGGGACAUCGAGCACCCACAGUCGUAUGAGACGAGGACGGCCAGCCCCGCAUCAUCCACCAUCGGAGGAGAUGACGACGACCAGCCCUGCAUCGGAGGUGAGGCGGCGACAUCGAGCGGAUCCGAGGAGCAAGCAUCAGUUGCCUCUGAUGGCGGCGAGGACGAGCACCUCGGCAACAACGAUGAGCGUGCAGAUGGAGGCAGUCUCGACUCCCACCAUGGUGGCAUGGGCGAGUAG
This 318-nucleotide ribosomal RNA is filed under the name Triticum aestivum (bread wheat). RNAcentral describes it as "partial small subunit ribosomal RNA". Lineage: Eukaryota; Viridiplantae; Streptophyta; Magnoliopsida; Poales; Poaceae. The record is from RNAcentral.